This 68-nucleotide transfer RNA is filed under the name Eupatorium cannabinum. RNAcentral describes it as "tRNA-Thr". RNAcentral also lists the same sequence under 1 other name. The record is from RNAcentral. Lineage: Eukaryota; Viridiplantae; Streptophyta; Magnoliopsida; Asterales; Asteraceae.
CUCAGUGGUAGAGUAAUCCCGUGGUAACGGUAACGCGUAAGCCCUCGGUUCAAACCCGACAAGGGGCU